AUGCUGGAGGUAUCAGAAGUGCGAAUGCUGACAUAAGUAACGAUAAAGCGGGUGAAAAGCCCGCUCGCCGGAAGACCAAGGGUUCCUGUCCAACGUUAAUCGGGGCAGGGUGAGUCGACCCCUAAGGCGAGGCCGAAAGGCGUAGUCGAUGGGAAACAGGUUAAUAUUCCUGUACUUGGUGUUACUGCGAAGGGGGGACGGAGAAGGCUAUGUUGGCCGGGCGACGGUUGUCCCGGUUUAAGCGUGUAGGCUGGUUUUCCAGGCAAAUCCGGAAAAUCAAGGCUGAGGCGUGAUGACGAGGCACUACGGUGCUGAAGCAACAAAUGCCCUGCUUCCAGGAAAAGCCUCUAAGCAUCAGGUAACAUCAAAUCGUACCCCAAACCGACACAGGUGGUCAGGUAGAGAAUACCAAGGCGCUUGAGAGAACUCGGGUGAAGGAACUAGGCAAAAUGGUGCCGUAACUUCGGGAGAAGGCACGCUGAUAUGUAGGUGAAGCGACUUGCUCGUGGAGCUGAAAUCAGUCGAAGAUACCAGCUGGCUGCAACUGUUUAUUAAAAACACAGCACUGUGCAAACACGAAAGUGGACGUAUACGGUGUGACGCCUGCCCGGUGCCGGAAGGUUAAUUGAUGGGGUCAGCGCAAGCGAAGCUCUUGAUCGAAGCCCCGGUAAACGGCGGCCGUAACUAUAACGGUCCUAAGGUAGCGAAAUUCCUUGUCGGGUAAGUUCCGACCUGCACGAAUGGCGUAAUGAUGGCCAGGCUGUCUCCACCCGAGACUCAGUGAAAUUGAACUCGCUGUGAAGAUGCAGUGUACCCGCGGCAAGACGGAAAGACCCCGUGAACCUUUACUAUAGCUUGACACUGAACAUUGAGCCUUGAUGUGUAGGAUAGGUGGGAGGCUUUGAAGUGUGGACGCCAGUCUGCAUGGAGCCGACCUUGAAAUACCACCCUUUAAUGUUUGAUGUUCUAACGUUGACCCGUGAUCCGGGUUGCGGACAGUGUCUGGUGGGUAGUUUGACUGGGGCGGUCUCCUCCUAAAGAGUAACGGAGGAGCACGAAGGUUGGCUAAUCCUGGUCGGACAUCAGGAGGUUAGUGCAAUGGCAUAAGCCAGCUUGACUGCGAGCGUGACGGCGCGAGCAGGUGCGAAAGCAGGUCAUAGUGAUCCGGUGGUUCUGAAUGGAAGGGCCAUCGCUCAACGGAUAAAAGGUACUCCGGGGAUAACAGGCUGAUACCGCCCAAGAGUUCAUAUCGACGGCGGUGUUUGGCACCUCGAUGUCGGCUCAUCACAUCCUGGGGCUGAAGUAGGUCCCAAGGGUAUGGCUGUUCGCCAUUUAAAGUGGUACGCGAGCUGGGUUUAGAACGUCGUGAGACAGUUCGGUCCCUAUCUGCCGUGGGCGCUGGAGAACUGAGGGGGGCUGCUCCUAGUACGAGAGGACCGGAGUGGACGCAUCACUGGUGUUCGGGUUGUCAUGCCAAUGGCACUGCCCGGUAGCUAAAUGCGGAAGAGAUAAGUGCUGAAAGCAUCUAAGCACGAAACUUGCCCCGAGAUGAGUUCUCCCUGACCCUUUAAGGGUCCUGAAGGAACGUUGAAGACGACGACGUUGAUAGGCCGGGUGUGUAAGCGCAGCGAUGCGUUGAGCUAACCGGUACUAAUGAACCGUGAGGCUUAACCUUACAACGCCGAAGGUGUUU
Molecule: ribosomal RNA, 1693 nt
Filed under: Escherichia coli
Lineage: Bacteria; Pseudomonadati; Pseudomonadota; Gammaproteobacteria; Enterobacterales; Enterobacteriaceae
Description: bacterial LSU rRNA
Rfam family: Bacterial large subunit ribosomal RNA
Source: RNAcentral